GGACAGGUGGCGAGGGUUAACGCGUCAGGUUUAGGCCCUGAUCUCUUCGGAGGCGCAGGUUCGAACCCUGCCCUGUUCA
Molecule: transfer RNA, 79 nt
Filed under: Catenaria anguillulae PL171
Lineage: Eukaryota; Fungi; Blastocladiomycota; Blastocladiomycetes; Blastocladiales; Catenariaceae
Rfam family: tRNA
About the family: Transfer RNA (tRNA) molecules are approximately 80 nucleotides in length.
Source: Rfam by way of RNAcentral